AUGAACGCUAGUAGUAUGCUUAACACAUGCAAGUUGAACGGGGUUUACCCUCGUAGCGAACGGGUGAGUACGCACAGAACUUUUCCUUCUAGUCCAGCACAAAAAUUUUCUUAGAAAAUAAAAUUCUGGAUAUAUUUUAAAGGAUUUUUCCGCUAGAAGAUAAAUCUGUUUAAGAUUAGGUUGUUGGUAAUUUAAAAGCUUACCAAGCCUACGAUC
Molecule: ribosomal RNA, 216 nt
Filed under: uncultured cyanobacterium
Lineage: Bacteria; Bacillati; Cyanobacteriota
Description: partial 16S ribosomal RNA
Rfam family: Bacterial small subunit ribosomal RNA
Source: RNAcentral